UAGGGAAUCUUCGGCAAUGGGGGGAACCCUGACCGAGCAACGCCGCGUGAGUGAAGAAGGUUUUCGGAUCGUAAAGCUCUGUUGUUAAGGAAGAACGAGUGUGAGAAUGGAAAGUUCAUGCUGUGACGGUACUUAACCAGAAAGGGACGGCUAACUACGUGCCAGCAGCCGCGGUAAUACGUAGGUCCCGAGCGUUGUCCGGAUUUAUUGGGCGUAAAGCGAGCGCAGGCGGUUAGAAAAGUCUGAAGUGAAAGGCAGUGGCUCAACCAUUGUAAGCUUUGGAAACUGUUUAACUUGAGUGCAGAAGGGGAGAGUGGAAUUCCAUGUGUAGCGGUGAAAUGCGUAGUUAUAUGGAGGAACACCGGUGGCGAAAGCGGCUCUCUGGUCUGUAACUGCCGCUGAGGCUCGAAAGCGUGGGGAGCGAACAGG
RNAcentral lists this ribosomal RNA (429 nucleotides) under Bacteroidota bacterium. RNAcentral's name for it is "Bacteroidetes bacterium partial 16S ribosomal RNA". It matches the Rfam family "Bacterial small subunit ribosomal RNA", at positions 355 to 776 of the family's 1533-position model. Lineage: Bacteria; Pseudomonadati; Bacteroidota. The record is from RNAcentral.